Small nucleolar RNA from Acomys russatus (golden spiny mouse), 130 nucleotides. RefSeq annotates it as small nucleolar RNA SNORA72. The record is from RefSeq and is a predicted model, not a curated record. NCBI's taxonomy places the organism in Eukaryota, Metazoa, Chordata, Mammalia, Rodentia, Muridae. The transcript has a single exon.
AUGUGGCUAUUCUUCUGUUCUGAUUCUGUGAUAAUCAGGACAGACUAAGCAUUUCUAUAGUAAGACCAUGCAUGCAUCCCUAAACCUAGUUUUUUCCCUAGGCUGGGUUUUCUUAAAGCUGGUGGCCAAC